Molecule: ribosomal RNA, 370 nt
Filed under: uncultured bacterium
Lineage: Bacteria
Description: partial 16S ribosomal RNA
Rfam family: Bacterial small subunit ribosomal RNA
Source: RNAcentral
CCUACGGGAGGCAGCAGUAGGGAAUUUUCGUCAAUGGGCGCAAGCCUGAACGAGCAAUGCCGCGUGAACGAGGAAGGUCCUCGGAUCGUAAAGUUCUGUUGAAGGGGAAAAAGAGCGGAGAGAGGAAAUGGUCUCCGAUUGAUAUUACCCUUCGAGGAAGUCACGGCUAACUCCGUGCCAGCAGCCGCGGUAAUACGUAGGUGGCGAGCGUUAUCCGGAAUGAUUGGGCGUAAAGGGUGCGUAGGCGGCCUGCUAAGUGUGGAGUGAAAGGGACCGGCUCAACCGGUACAGGGUCUUGUAACUGGCGGGCUAGAGGGGAGGAGAGGGCGGUGGAACUGCAUGGGUAGCGGUAAAAUUCGUAGGUAUAUGG